GUAAAGUGCAAAUUUACAGCGGCACCAUAGGAGGUGCCGGGGCUUCUCCCGUUU
RNAcentral lists this transfer RNA (54 nucleotides) under Aeluroscalabotes felinus. RNAcentral's name for it is "partial tRNA-Cys". Lineage: Eukaryota; Metazoa; Chordata; Lepidosauria; Squamata; Eublepharidae. The record is from RNAcentral.